GAUGAACGCUGGCUACAGGCUUAACACAUGCAAGUCGAGGGGAAACGCCGGGGAAGCCUGCUUCCCCGGGCGUCGACCGGCGCACGGGUGAGUAACGCGUAUCCAACCUGCCUCUGACUGAGGGAUAACCCGUCGAAAGUCGGCCUAAUACCUCAUGGUAUCGUCUGCGGGCAUCCAACGACGAUUAAAGAUUUCUUCGGUCAGGGAUGGGGAUGCGUCUGAUUAGCUUGUUGGCGGGGUAACGGCCCACCAAGGCUACGAUCAGUAGGGGUUCUGAGGGGAAGGUACCCCACAUGGGAACUGAGACACGGUCCAAACUCCUACGGGAGGCAGCAGUGAGGAAUAUUGGUCAAUGGGAGAGAGCCUGAACCAGCCAAGUAGCGUGCAGGAAGACGGCCCUAUGGGUUGUAAACUGCUUUUAUGCGGGGAUAAAGUGAGGGACGGGUCCCUCAUUGCAGGUACCGAAUGAAUAAGGACCGGCUAAUUCCGUG
RNAcentral lists this ribosomal RNA (491 nucleotides) under uncultured bacterium. RNAcentral describes it as "partial 16S ribosomal RNA". It matches the Rfam family "Bacterial small subunit ribosomal RNA", at positions 28 to 507 of the family's 1533-position model. The record is from RNAcentral.